RNAcentral lists this ribosomal RNA (648 nucleotides) under Triticum aestivum (bread wheat). Its description in RNAcentral is "partial small subunit ribosomal RNA". Lineage: Eukaryota; Viridiplantae; Streptophyta; Magnoliopsida; Poales; Poaceae. The record is from RNAcentral.
AUGAAUGCAAUGAGUUGGAACUAUCGAGGUCUUGGGAACCUAUCGACAGUCCGAGAGCUUCGCAAGAUCGUGAAGCAAGAAGGGCCCUCCCUACUCUUUGUGAUGGAAACAAAGAUCAGGGGAAAGAGAGUGGAAAGUUUGCAAAAUCUUCUAAGUUUUGCAGGUUGUUUUGCUGUGGAUAGUAAUGGAUUAAGUGGUGGCGUUGGCUUAUUCUGGACAAAUAAUGUCGAUGUAGAAUUGAAGAAUUACAACCAAGCGCAUAUUGAUGUGAGAGUCAGGAAGAAGGAUGGUGAUCUACCCCCCUGGCGUUUCACUGGUUUUGACGGAGAACCCAUAACUAAAAAUAGACACAUAGUUGGGAUUUCUGGCAUACACUGCAUGCAGUCCAGCAUGAGAGUUGGCUCUGCAUGGGUGACUUCAAUGAGACAAUGUUCGCAGAUGUGCACUUCAGUUCACAUGCUAGGCCGGAGUGGCAAAUGCGUGCCUUUCGUGCAAUUAUUGAUUAUUGCUCCUUUCAAGAUCUUGGAUGGAGAGGGGUUCCAUACACAUGGGAUAAGCGGCAACAAGGGCAAGCAAAUGUUAAGGCCGGGCUUGACAGAGCCCUUGCAAAUGCAGGCUUUCUCAGCAUGUUUGCUUAUUCCAGUGUGA